Long non-coding RNA from Gallus gallus (chicken), 1724 nucleotides. The record is from Ensembl. Lineage: Eukaryota; Metazoa; Chordata; Aves; Galliformes; Phasianidae.
UGUGUCACGCUCACGCGGGCCGUCCGUGAGGACGGCGUGCAGACGUCGCGCGGCCGCCAUUACCUGCCCGUCCCGGCCCGGCACGUGCGCUCGGCUCCGUCCCGCAGCCGGAAUGGGGGCGACGGCCGCGCGCUCGGCGCCGCCGCGGACAUUUUGUGGCGCUGCGCUGCGGGCGGGCGGCCGCCGACGGCACAUCCCGGAACCCGCCCUCGUAAAAUGGAUCGCCGAGUCAUCGCCGGCCGCCCGUCUGCCUGCCUGCAGCACGCUGGCUUUUCUGCAGGAAGCCGGAAAGUACCGCAAUGGGCAUGUCCCGGUGCCUCCCAGCCGGGCGGGAGGAGACUCGAUAGCCGAGCGCGUGUAAAUCGCGGCGCGGCCCCGCAGGAAACGGCCCCGCCGUCAGCGGGCGUGGGGGGCCGCGCUGCUCGUGGCCGCCGCGAGGUUAAUGAGGUACCGUGCAGCUACUGGGUUCAGCGGGCAGCCGGAAAGCGCCGCGCUGAAAAGCCCGGAGUUUUAGGAAUAUCAUAAAGAGAUCGUUUUUGUGAUUCCAAGCCAGGCCGAGUUGUUCUGAUGUCCGCAGCAGCUGGAAGAGAAAACCAUACAACGGCUGAUGGAGUUGGCUGCAGCAAGAAAAUCACAUCUCAGUUCCCAGGAUUUCAGAAAGAUGGGCCUCCUCCGAUAGUUGCAAAUCUCUGCAAAACGUUCUGGUGCUGCUGUGCACUGGUUUGAUCAGAUCUUGGCGAUUUCCUCCUGCGUGCACUCCAUGGCUCUGCUCUUGAGGAUGGAUGAUGCUACCCGGAACUGUGUCUGAUUCAGUGUGCUGAAGGAGGAGAGAAGGGGGAUGCGGAGUUGAUCUUCAAAACUGGCCCGCGUAUUUUGGGUAACAUGUAACGUGUCACAUUUAUUCUAGGCUCACAGCAGCCUAGUUGUGAGAAAAAAAUGUGGAACCAACAUAUGGCUUAGAACUGCUAGCAAUGCAGGGCUAGCAGGAGGUACUUCUGAGGUGCUACACCAUCCACAACACUCGAAUUUUAAAUGUGAUCCGAGUGUGUCCUCUCGAGUGUGACCUGACAGUAAUUAUCGAUCAGGGUCUUCAGUCACUGCUUGAAUUCCUUAGGUCAGUUGAUUUUGAUCAACUGUUUUGUCUUUGUUUUGCUUCCCUGGGGGAAGGGGAAAGGUUGGUUGUGCUGGGAGGGAAGGAAUAGCACUGACCAUAGCACUGCAACAUGUAGCACCAACAGAUUUAUUCCUUGGAACAACAACAAAAAAAGUGGGUUUCGAAGGUUUCGAUACCCCCGAUUAAACCAAAGCUGUUCGCGAGGAAAAUGAGAACAGUUGGUGAUGCUCUCGACUACUUUCUUACAGGUCUGAGCCGUUGGCAGCACUGCUGUGCUGAUUCCCCUUCGUCUAAGCGUUCCUGACCGAUCCGUGCCUUGCCCGGAGCGGAAAGGUAAAGAGAGGUCCUUCCGUUUGUGUCGGAGAUGGCUUCUUUCCUGGGCUGGCUUUCUUUGCGGCGUAGGUACGCCGAACCCUGCCGCUUUCCAGUGCCCUUUUUCAGAAGGUUACGGGUGGAGUGGAAAGUAUACCUUCUGAUCAGAAAAGCCUUUGCAUUCUGCCAUCUCGGAUGUGUUCACAUGUGAGGUCCUUCGGUUAAGCAGGGUUUACCAGUGCUGUUUCCAGAAGUGUAAGCCCGUGGAUUUUAGGAACUGCAUCUCAGACUGUGUCCC